CCAGGCUGCCAGGGGGUAAACUGGGCAGGAGGGACAGUCACAGUCCUGGGGUGGGUGUUUGCAACCAGGCAGCUGUGAGCCCCCUCACUGUGCACAGAUUCAGGCUGGAGGUUGACCUUCCAGAGGCUAGCAGUGCUCUCUCACCAGAGGAAACAGCCAUGGAGCACGUCCUCCAGCCUGCAAGGAUGAAAUACCUUCAAGGCCCCCACAUAAAGCGAGGCCCAGGCAGGGCCUAUGGCCCCUUGGCUCUUGAGGUAGAAUUGGUUUCUGCCUCCCAUUUGGAGAAAGAGGAACCAAAUGAAGACGAGAAGAAGGAGGAGAAACAGGAUCCAGAUCUUGCCUCAGACCUCGAGGAGGAGGAGGAAGUGGAGGAGGAGGAAGGAGAGAAUGACCUUGGAGAUCCAGCUGUCCUCAGCGCUGUCCAUAACACCCAGAAAGGUCUUCUCAGCUCCCCUGGAAUCAAGGCCUCUGGUGUCCUGGGGAUGUCACCUGCCUCCUUGCACUUUCAGUGGCAGACUCCGGACUACCUGGUGCCACUUCCCUUCCAGCCUGCCUUUCCCAGUGCCAGCUCUCCCACCAAGUACUUUGGACCUCCACUGCCCUCGCCAGACCCACCUCUCCUCGGCAGCCCAUCGACCUCGUGGCCCCUUAGGCUCAGUUUUCCCAGUCAUCUGACCCAGCUCCACCCUCAGCACCAGCGGAUCUUGAAGCAGCAGCAAUCUAGUCAACCACCAAGUUCCCCAGCCAAGGAGCCUUGGUCUCAGCAGCCAGACCCUUAUGCUAACCUCAUGAGCCAAAAAGAGAAGGACUGGGUGGUAAAAGUGCAGAUGGUUCAGCUGCAGAGUGAGAACCCCCGCCUGGAUGACUAUUACUACCAGGAAUAUUAUCAGAAACUAGAGAAGAAGCAGGCAGAGGAAGAGCGGUUUGGGCGGAAGACCAAGGUUGAGUCCCUCAAGCUGGUCACACCUUAUAUUCAGAAGGCUGAAACCUAUGAGUCAGUGGUUCGAAUCAAGGGUUCCCUGGGUCAGGUAGCUGUUUCGACGUGUUUCAGCCCUCGCCGAGCUAUUGAUGCUGUGCCCCACGGAACUCAAGAGCAGGAGACAGGAGCCGCAGGAAGUCAGAGGCUUCAGGUGUUGUACCGGAUUGAGAAGAUGUUCCUUCAGUUACUAGAGAUAGAAGAGGGCCAGAAGGAUGUGACUUCACAGCCCUGUGACCCUGAGCAGCAGAGCAACCAGGCUGAGAAGCUCUUCCAGGCCUUAAAGACCCAUGAGCAGAAUGAUCUGGAGGAAGCAGCAGAUGGCUUCCUCCAGGUGCUCUCCAUCAGGAAAGGCAAAGCCCUAGUGGCCCGGCUGCUCCCCUUCCUGCCCCAAGAUCGAGCUGUCAGCCUUCUUCUGACCAUCACCCGCCAUCUGCCUUUCCUGGUCAGGAGGGAUGUGGCUGAUCAGGCCUUGCAACUGUUAUUCAACCCUCUGAGCAAAUGUAUCAGUCACUUGACAUUCCAAGAACUCCUCCAAGGACUUCAGGGCCUCAUGGAGCUACCACCUGGCUGCUCAGAGCGGCCGGUCACUGUGGUGCUUCAGAAUCAGUUUGGAAUAUCUUUGCUCUACACUCUGCUGAGUCAUGGGGAGCAGCUGGUAUCCCUGGAUUCUUCCUUAGAGGAACCCAACAGUGGCCGUACAGCUUGGACAGACAUGGUGGUUCUCACUGCCUGGGAGAUAGCCCAGAUGCCCACAGCCUCUCUGGCAGAACCCCUGGCUUUCUCCAGCAACCUCCUUCCCCUGUUCUGUCACCACGUGGACAAACAGUUGGUCCAGCAGCUGGAAGCUAGGAUGAAGUUUGUAUGGGAGGAUUCUCAUAACAGUGGGACACCAACAGACAAGCCCAGACUGCUUGCUCUUAGUGAAAAUUAUGAACUGCUCAUCUAUGAGUUUAAUUUGAAAGAUGGAAGAUGUGAUGCAACCGUUUUGUAUAGCUAUAGUGAGGAGACAUUGCAAAAGCUCAUUGGAGAUCAAAAUGUCAGUAUAUCUUUAUUAUCUUUGAGAAUUCUGUCAUUUCACAGUAACAGAUCAUUAUUAUUCAUCAACAAAUGUAUCGUCCUACACAUUAUAUUUCCUGAAAGAAAUGCUGACAUUAGGGUACUCAGCUGUUUCACAUUACCCUUACCUGCACAGACGGUGGACAGGAUUAUUGACACACAGCUCUGCAGAGGAAUUCUUUUUGUUUUGAGUAGUUUAGGCUGGAUCUACAUUUUUGACAUUGUGGAUGGCAGACAUGUAGCUCAUGUGGACUUAGCACUUCAUCAAGAAGAUAUGUGUAAUGAACAGCCACAGGAGCCAUCUACGAUUUCUUCCUUUACUUCACUGAAAGUGUCUCAAGACCUCGAUGUUAUAAUGAUUGUCAGCUCCUCCAACACUGCAGUUGCUCUUAACUUAAAUUUGUAUUUCAGGCAACACCCAGGACACCUAUUAUGUGAAAGAACUCUAGAAGACAUUCCUAUUGAAGGCCCUAAGGGGAUAGAUGAAGAUGAUCCUGUUAAUUCUGAGUACAACAUGAAAUUGACCAAGUUUUCCUUCCAAGUCGAUAGGUCUUGGAAAGCCCAGCUGUCAUCACUGAAUGAAACAAUAAAGAGCUCUAGGCUGGAAGAUUACUGUUGUGCUCCAUGGUUCCAGGAUAUUUUGCAUUUGGAGUCCACUGAAUCUGGUGACCACCGUACCUGUGUGCCAAGCUGGUCCUUCAUUCUGCAGAAUGUAAUGCACAGCCAGUAUAAUUUUCCACAGAAAGGUCCUUCCAAGACCGUUGAUCCAGGAAGAUCAUGGAAAAGAAUGCGCAUCAGUGAACAGGAGGAACCCUUUGAGCUUACAUGUGUGUCUGUGACAGGCUUUACUGCACUGUUUACUUGGGCGGUGGAAAGGACAGGCUGUACCAUUGCCCUAUGGGAUUUGGAGACCCAGGGCAUGCAGUACUUUUCCCUGGGUAAAAGAUGUAUUCCUGUAGACAGCAGUGGAAGCCAGCAACUGUGCCUUGUUUUAACAGAAAAUGGACUCUCUCUGGUUUUGUUUGGUUUGACUCAGGAGGAGUUUUUAAAUAGACUAAUGAUCCAUGGAAGUGCCAGCACUGUGGACUCACUUUGCCAUCUCAAUGGUUGGGGGAGGUGCUCCAUCCCCAUACAUGCCCUAGAGGCAGGUAUAGAAAAUCGUCAGCUGGACACAGUAGAUUUCUUCUUGAAAAGCAAGGAAAAUCUUUUGAAUCCAUCCUCAAAAUCUUCUGUACCUGAUCAGUUUGAUCACUUUCCAUCCCACUUGUAUUUAAAACAUGUGGAAGAGCUGACACCAGCAUUGGAUUUACUUUGCUCAGCAAUUAGAGAAAAUGAUUCUGAAACCCAAAGCAAACACUUUUCAGAACAAUUGCUUAAUCUUACACUGUCUUUCCUUAACAAACAAAUAAAGGAGCUUUUUAUUCACAAUGAAGAGCUAGAUGAACAUCUACAGAAAGGAGUGAACAUUUUCACCAGCUACAUUAAUGAACUUCGAACCUUCCUGAUAAAGUUUCCUUGGAAGCUAACGGAUGCUGUAGAUGAAUAUGAUGUAAAAGAAAAUGUCCCCAAAGUAAAGGAGAGCAAUAUAUGGGAGGAACUCAGCGUUGAGGAAGUUAUUGCUGAUGCCAUUUUAAAUAACAAAAUACCAGAGGCACAAACUUUCUUCAGGAUUAACAGUCAUUCUGCUCAAAGACUUGAGGAGUUGAUUAAAAUAGGCCUAGAUUUGGUCUUUGACAGUUUGAAAAAGAACAAUGUAAAGGAAGCCUCUGAGCUUUUGAAGAAUAUGGGCUUUAAUGUAAAAGACCAGUUGCUCAAGAUAUGCUUCUAUACAACUGAUAAAAAUAUACGGGACUUUUUGGUUGACAUUUUAAAAGAAAAAAAAUAUUUUUCUGAAAAAGACAAAGGAACUGUAGAGUUCGUGCAUCAAGUUGAGAAGUUUUAUUCAGGAUCUUUCCAAGAAAAUAUGCAGAUCCAGUCCUUUCCAAGGUAUUGGAUAAGGGAACAAGAUUUUUUCAAGCACAAGUCUGUUUUGGACUCGUUCCUGAAUUAUGAUCAUAAAGAUAAAGAUAAACUUAACAAACAAGGUCAUAAAAUUGUGUUAAAUUGGGCUCAUUGGUGGCAUCGACUAACACAAGAAUCCAUCCUUCUCCCCAGGAUAAGUCCAGAAGAAUACAAAUCAUAUUCUCCUGAAGCCCUUUGGAGAUACCUCACGGCUCGCCAUGAUUGGGUCAGCAUUAUCUUGUGGAUUGGAGAAUUUCAGACCCAGAAUAGUUAUGCUUCACUUCAGCAGAAUAAAUGGCCCCCUCUGACUACUGAUGUUAUGGAUCAGAAUACUUGCUGCAACAACUACAUGAGGAAUGCAAUUUUAGAUAAGCUGGCCAGGAAUGGGAUUUUUCUUACAUCUGAACUAGAAGACUUUGAACUCUUUCUCCUAAGACUGAACCGUAUUGGGGGCGUGAUGCAAGAUAGCCUCCCUGUUCAAAACUACAAGUCCAAAGAAGGUUGGGAUUUCCAUUCUCACUUCAUUCUCUACUGUUUGGAAUACAGUCUGCAGCAUCUGCUUUAUGUCUACCUUGACUAUUACAAACUUAGUCCUCCAAAUUGUCCCUUUCUGGAAAAAAAAGAAUUGCAUGAAGCUCACCCUUGGUUUGAAUUUUUAGUUCAGUGUCGACAAGUUUCCAGUAAUUUAACAGAUCCCAAACUGAUCUUCCAGGCUAGCCUUGCAAAUGCUCAGAUACUGAUUCCCAGCAACCAAGCCAGCAUAAGCAGUAUGCUAUUGGAAGGACAUACGCUCCUGGCCCUUGCUACCACAAUGUAUGCCCCUGGGGGUGUUAGCCAGGUUGUUCAGAAUGAAGAAAAUGAGAACUGUUUGAAGAAAGUAGAUCCCCAGCUACUGAAGAUGGCAUUAACUCCUUAUCCCAAGCUUAAAACUGCUCUCUUCCCACAGUACACUGCCCCUACUGUCCUGCCGUCUGAUAUUACACUCUACCACCUUAUCCAGUCAUUAUUGCCUUUUGAUCCUAGCAGAUUGUUUGGCUGGCAAUCUGCCAACACACUGGCUAUAGGAGAUGCAGUGAGUCAGCUUCCACAUUUCUCUAGCCCUGACCUGGUUAAUAAAUACGCUAUAGUAGAACGUCUAAAUUUUGCUUAUUAUUUACAUCACGGACGACCAUCAUUUGCAUUUGGUACUUUUCUGGUUCAAGAAUUAACCAAGAGCAAGACUCCCAAGCAGCUAAUUGCUUGGCCUCGACAGCCUCAAGCUCAGAGUUGAUAUGAAAGUGGCCAAUAUAAUUUUGAGCUACAAGUGCAGAAAUGAAGAUGCUCAGUACAACUUUAUCAGAGAGUCUCUCGCUGAAAAACUAUCUAAACUGGCUGUGGGUGAAAAGGCAACCACAGAAGAAUUGCUUAUUCUCUUAGAAGAAGCUAUAUGGAACAACAUUCAGCAGCAGGAAGUAAAGAGGUUAUCCAGUGAAUCCAGCAGCCAGUGGGCAUUAGUGGUACAGUUCUGCAGGCUCCACGACAUGAAACUGAGCACAUCCUACCUUAGAGAAUGUGCAAAAGCAAAUGAUUGGUUACAGUUUAUUGUUCACAGCCAACUCCAUAAUUACCAUCCAGAGGAGGUGAAAUCUCUUCUCCAGUAUUUCAGCCCUGUUCUUCAAGACCACUUAAGACUAGCUUUUGAGAACUUGCCCUCAGUCUCCAACUCCAGAAUGGACAGUGACCAAGUCUGCAACAAGUUCCCACAGGAACUCCAGAGAAAGAAAGAAAAGACUGAUUUCUUUGAAAUUCUGCUCCAGUGCUCAGAGGUGCCAAACUCCUGGUGCUGGCUCCUAGCAGAAGCAGUGGAACAACAGGCUCCAAUCCUUAGUGUCCUGGCCUCAUGUCUCCAGGAUGCCAGUGCUAUUCCUUGUCUCUGCGUUUGGAUCAUCACUUCUGUGGAGCACAGUGUUGCAGUUGAAGCAAUGGGACACAUUCAGGGCACAAUAGAAGACCACACCUGGGACCUUGAGGACCUCUCAGUCAUCUGGAGAACAUUAUUAACAAGGCAGAAGAGCAAAACUCUCAUCAGAGGUUUCCAACUUUUCUUUAAGGAUUCCCCAUUACUAUUGAUGAUGGAGAUGUAUGAACUUUGUAUGUUCUUCAAGAAUUAUAAGGAAGCUGAAGCUAAACUUCUGGAAUUCCAGAAAAGCCUUGAAACUCUUGAAACAGCAACCCCAAGGGUCCAUGCUAUCAUCCCUGCCCCUUGGCUGAAGGAGCACGUCUGUUUUCUUUUGAAGCUUAUGCUGCAGCAGUGUAGGACCCAGUAUGAGCUGGGAAAGCUUUUGCAGCUGUUUGUUGGAAUACAGCAUCUCUUCUCUGAUGGUCCAGAUGUGAAGAAGCUAUGUGUCCUUAGCCAAAUUUUGAAGGAUACAUCCAUAACCAUUAAUCAUGUAAUUAUUACCAACUACAGCCUAGAAAAUUUUCAACAUGAAUGUAAGUCUAUUUUGGAAAAGCUAGAGACAGAUGGACAGUUUGCCUUGGCCAGGAGGGUAGCAGAAUUAGCUGAGCUACCUGUGGACAACUUGGUUAUUGAAGAGAUAACGCAGGAAAUGCGGGCCUUAAAACACAUUGACCAGUCGUCUCUGAAACAAGCAAGAAUUGACUUCUGGAAAAAAUGUCAUGAGAAUUUUAAGAAAAAUUGCAUUUCAAGCAAAGCAGCAUCUUCCUUUUUCUCAGCCCAGGCUUUUAAGGCAUGUGAGUGCCCAGCUGAGAAGGGAUGGAGCAACACUGAGGAGCGCCAUCUGCUGCUAACACUAGCAGGGCACUGGCUUUCCCAGGAGGACCCGGUGCCUCUGGAAGAGCUGGAGGAGUUAGAGAAGCAAAUCUGGCUCUGCCGUAUCACCCAGCACACUCUCAGAGGAAAUCAGGAGGAAAUAGAGCCCAGAUGUUCUCAACACAUCUCAACUAGUGGUGAACUUUCCUUUGACAGUUUAGCCAGUGAGUUUUCAUUCUCUAAGUUGCCUGCUCUGAACACAUCAAAGUACUUAAAACUUAAUGGCCUUCCUUCCAAAGACAACUGUGAGAAUAGACUGGAUUGGAAGGAGCAGGCAUCCCUAAACUUUUUGAUUGGGCACCUAUUGGAUGAUGGCUGUGUGCAUGAAGCAAGUAGAAUAUGCCGGUAUUUUCAUUUCUAUAACCAAGAUGUUGCUUUGGCAUUGCACUGCAGAGCACUGGCUUCAGGGGAAGCUAGUGUGGACGACAUGCACCCAGAGAUGGGUGCUCUCCUACGAAGUGCUGAGCUGCUUGAGGAAGAAGAAGAAACUGGCAUUCCUCUAAGGAAAGUCCAAAGCACUUCAAGUUUGGAUAGUCAGUCAUUUGUGAUGCUGCCCCCCAGUGAUGAAGUGGUGACUCAUCUGGAAACUCUGACAAGCAAAUGCCUCCAUGGGAAGAAUUAUUGCCGGCAGGUCCUGUGUCUGUAUGAACUUGCCAAGGAGUUGGGCUGUUGCUACACAGAUGUCGCUGCCCAGGAUGGUGAGGCCAUGCUUCGGGCAAUCCUGGCCUCUCAGCAGCCUGAUCGAUGCAAGCGAGCCCAAGCCUUCAUCAGCACCCAGGGCCUCGAGCCAGACACAGUGGCUGAACUUGUGGCGGAAGAGGUGACCCGGGAGCUGCUGACCCCAUCAGAGGGAACAGGUGCCCUACCUUUCAGGCCUCCCCGGGCUUUCAGACCACAUUCUCAAGUUCCCAGUGUUAAGAAUUUGCUGUUAUGCUCAUAUACUUCUUGUGCGUUGUCCUUUCAAGUUGCCAGGUUGCACUUGUAAGAGAAAAACAUACUGCAUUUAUUUGGUUGUUGUUGCUUUUUGUUUAUUGUUUUAUGAUUGUAUUUAGAGUAGCUGUGCCUUUUUCUGAGCUAAUGAACUCCUACUGUCCUGUAAGAUGCAGCUCAGCCAAGGUAUUUGAGCACAAGAGGAGAGCUGCCCUGGGAGCUCCUUCAGCAUUACCUCCCGGUGCCCAGACCUGCGCAGAGUGGGCCUCCUGCCCUGGGGCUCUUGUCUUUCUCUCACCUCUCUCAAGGUAAAACUAGCACCUUUCCCCCCAUCUUUUUGUACAGGACAUAAGCAGAUCACCCCAACAGAGGAAAGCCAGUCAUUUCUUCAGCUGACUACUUUGUGUCAAGACCGCACCUUGUUAGGCAUGAAGUUGUUGGAUAAGAUUUCCUCUGUACCCCAUGGGGCACUGUCUUGCACCACAGAGCUGCUGAUCCUGGCUCAUCACUGCUUCACACUAACAUGCCACAUGGAGGGGAUCAUCCGAGUCCUGCAGGCCGCCCGGCUACUCACAGACAACCACUUGGCCCCCAGUGAGGAGUACGGGCUGGUGGUGCGUCUCCUCACUGGCAUUGGAAGGUACAAUGAGAUGACCUACAUAUUUGAUUUGCUGCAUAAAAAGCACUAUUUUGAGGUACUGAUGAGGAAGAAGUUGGAUCCGAGUGGUACCCUGAAGACAGCCCUGCUGGACUACAUCAAACGUUGUCGCCCUGGGGACAGUGAGAAGCACAACAUGAUUGCCCUGUGCUUCAGCAUGUGCCGGGAGAUCGGGGAGAACCAUGAGGCAGCUGCCUGCAUCCAACUGAAAUUGAUUGAGUCUCAGCCUUGGGAGGACAGCCUCAAGGAUGGGCACCAACUGAAGCAGCUGCUGUUGAAGGCCCUGACUCUGAUGCUGGAUGCAGCAGAGAGUUAUGCCAAGGAUUCCUGCGUGCGACAGGCCCUGCAUUGUCACCGGCUCACCAAGUUGAUAACACUGCAGAUCCACUUCCUGAACACUGGCCAGAACACAAUGCUCAUCAACCUGGGCCGCCACAGGCUGAUGGACUGUAUCAUGGCACUUCCUCGGUUCUACCAGGCUUCUAUUGUGGCUGAAGCCUAUGACUUUGUUCCUGAUUGGGCUGAAAUUCUAUACCAACAAGUGAUUCUUAAAGGAGACUUUAAUUACUUGGAAGAAUUUAAGCAGCAAAGAUUAUUAAGAUCCAGUAUAUUUGAAGAGAUUUCAAUGAAAUGUAAACAUCAUCAACCUACCGACCUGGUUGUGAAAAACCUGAAGAAGUUACUCACAUAUUGUGAAGAUGUCUACUUGUAUUACAAGUUGGCAUACGAACACAAAUUUUAUGACGUUGUAAAUGUGCUUCUGAAGGACCCUCAGACAGGCUGCUGUCUAAAGGACAUGCUAGCAGGUUAGAUGGAGUCAGAUGACAUGAGGAUAGUUACUGCCAGGAACUGAUAAGUGCCUGAUUUUCUUGUACUGAAAUAAAUAAACGAGAUGUUUGUGGUCAGAGAAGAAUAAUGCACUGGGGAUCUCUGAUGUCUGACUAUAAAACCUCAGGGCUGACCAUACCAGUCCUUUGUGAAUAGUGGGUAAAGAAUGAGAGCAUUUUCACAAGGACAUUCCUAUUUUAAAAUGAUUGUUCAUCUAUACCAUUUUAUAAAGAUACUAGUAUUAUGACUGAUAGCUCCAUCUUCCUCAGGAUAGCUUCUACUUUAGGAUAUGAUACGAUAUUCUAGUAAAAAAUACCUGUGCCUGCAGAUUCCAGUUUCAAAGGAAUUUAAUAUUAUUUACACAGUUAAGGAACAGAUGAUACAUUUCCAUUUGUUAGAAACUGAUGUCUAUAAUAAAAUAGAUUUUUAAAUUCA
Sus scrofa (pig) is the source of this 9699-nucleotide non-coding RNA. The record is from RefSeq and is a predicted model, not a curated record. Lineage: Eukaryota; Metazoa; Chordata; Mammalia; Artiodactyla; Suidae.